CUAAGGGUUAUGACGGGGAGAAGUACGUGGAUUUUUUCUUUGCAGGGAGAGAGGGUCGUGACUGAAAGCCCUCUUAAAGAAACUCUUCGGAAAGUUCGCCCCUGAGCUGCCAUCUGAACGCGUGAUUUUUAUGCCAGUAGGGUGUGCCGGUUUCUUCUACCGUUAUCAGAAGUGGAUAACUUAUUAGUUUAUCCUCUGAGUGGUUCUUUACGGUUUUGUAGGAACAAUUUUGGGUGGUACCACGGAGAUAUUCCGUCCCUGCU
Molecule: non-coding RNA, 263 nt
Filed under: Desulforamulus hydrothermalis
Lineage: Bacteria; Bacillati; Bacillota; Clostridia; Eubacteriales; Peptococcaceae
Also listed under: 1 other name
Description: Desulfotomaculum hydrothermale T-box sequence
Rfam family: T-box leader
About the family: Uncharged tRNA acts as the effector for transcription antitermination of genes in the T-box leader family. T-boxes are found upstream of many aminoacyl-tRNA synthetase genes and some amino acid biosynthetic genes usually in Gram-positive bacteria.
Source: RNAcentral